This 436-nucleotide ribosomal RNA is filed under the name uncultured bacterium. RNAcentral describes it as "partial 16S ribosomal RNA". It matches the Rfam family "Bacterial small subunit ribosomal RNA", at positions 29 to 507 of the family's 1533-position model. The record is from RNAcentral.
AACGAACGCUGGCGGCAUGCCUAACACAUGCAAGUCGAACGAGAUCCUUCGGGGUCUAGUGGCGCACGGGUGCGUAACGCGUGGGAAUCUGCCCUUAGGUUCGGAAUAACAGUUAGAAAUGACUGCUAAUACCGGAUGAUGACGUUAAGUCCAAAGAUUUAUCGCCUGAGGAUGAGCCCGCGUAGGAUUAGCUAGUUGGUGUGGUAAAGGCGCACCAAGGCGACGAUCCUUAGCUGGUCUGAGAGGAUGAUCAGCCACACUGGGACUGAGACACGGCCCAGACUCCUACGGGAGGCAGCAGUGGGGAAUAUUGGACAAUGGGGGCAAGCCUGAUCCAGCAAUGCCGCGUGAGUGAUGAAGGCCUUAGGGUUGUAAAGCUCUUUUACCCGGGAUGAUAAUGACAGUACCGGGAGAAUAAGCCCCGGCUAACUACGUG